Molecule: ribosomal RNA, 160 nt
Filed under: uncultured bacterium
Lineage: Bacteria
Description: partial 16S ribosomal RNA
Rfam family: Bacterial small subunit ribosomal RNA
Source: RNAcentral
CCUACGGGAGGCAGCAGUGGGGAAUAUUGCACAAUGGGGGAAACCCUGAUGCAGCGACGCCGCGUGGAGGAAGAAGGUCUUUCGGAUUGUAAACUCCUGUUGUUGAGGAAUGAUAAUGACGGUACUCAACAAGGAAGUGACGGCUAACUACGUGCCAGCA